AGUAAUUGGAGUUUAACAGAAAUAUCUCUCAUUAGAAUGACAGCCGAUGGGAGGUAUGAAGUUUAACAGAAAUAUCUCUCAUUAGAAUGACAGCCGAUGGGAGGUAUGAAGUUUAACAGAAAUAUCUCUCAUUAGAAUGACAGCCGAUGGGAGGUAUGAAGUUAUUAGAGUUUAACAGAAAUAUCUCUCAUUAGAAUGACAGCCGAUGGGAGGUAUGAAGUUUAACAGAAAUAUCUCUCAUUAGAAUGACAGCCGAUGGGAGGUAUGAAGUAAUUGGAGUUUAACAGAAAUAUCUCUCAUUAGAAUGACAGUCGAUGGGAGGUAUGAAGUUUAACAGAAAUAUCUCUCAUUAGAAUGACAGCCGAUGGGAGGUAUGAAGUUUAACAGAAAUAUCUCUCAUUAGAAUGACAGCCGAUGGGAGGUAUGAAGUUAUUAGAGUUUAACAGAAAUAUCUCUCAUUAGAAUGACAGCCGAUGGGAGGUAUGAAGUUUAACAGAAAUAUCUCUCAUUAGAAUGACAGCCGAUGGGAGGUAUGAAGUUUAACAGAAAUAUCUCUCAUUAGAAUGACAGCCGAUGGGAGGUAUGAAGUAAUUGGAGUUUAACAGAAAUAUCUCUCAUUAGAAUGACAGCCGAUGGGAGGUAUGAAGUUUAACAGAAAUAUCUCUCAUUAGAAUGACAGCCGAUGGGAGGUAUGAAGUUUAACAGAAAUAUCUCUCAUUAGAAUGACAGCCGAUGGGAGGUAUGAAGUUUAACAGAAAUAUCUCUCAUUAGAAUGACAGCCGAUGGGAGGUAUGAAGUUUAACAGAAAUAUCUCUCAUUAGAAUGACAGCCGAUGGGAGGUAAGAAGUAAUUGGAGUUUAACAGAAAUAUCUCUCAUUAGAAUGACAGCCGAUGGGAGGUAUGAAGUUUAACAGAAAUAUCUCUCAUUAGAAUGACAGCCGAUGGGAGGUAUGAAGUUUAACAGAAAUAUCUCUCAUUAGAAUGACAGCCGAUGGGAGGUAUGAAGUAAUUGGUGUUUAACAGAAAUAUCUCUCAUUAGAAUGACAGCCGAUGGGAGGUAUGAAGUUUAACAGAAAUAUCUCUCAUUAGAAUGACAGCCGAUGGGAGGUAUGAAGUAAUUGGAGUUUAACAGAAAUAUCUCUCAUUAGAAUGACAGCCAAUGGGAGGUAUGAAGUUUAACAGAAAUAUCUCUCAUUAGAAUGACAGCCGAUGGGAGGUAUGAAGUAAUUGGAGUUUAACAGAAAUAUCUCUCAUUAGAAUGACAGCCGAAAGGAGGUUUGAAGUAAUUGGAGUUUAACAGAAAUAUCUCUCAUUAGAAUGACAGUUAAUGGGAGGUAUGAAGUAAUUGGAGUUUAACAGAAAUAUCUCUCAUUAGAAUGACAGUUGAUGGGAGGUAUGAAGUUUAACAGAAAUAUCUCUCAUUAGAAUGACAGCCGAUGGGAGGUAUGAAGUAAUUGGAGUUUAACAGAAAUAUCUCUCAUUAGAAUGACAGCCGAUGGAAGGUAUGAAGUAAUUGGAGUUCAACAGAAAUAUCUCUCAUUAGAAUGACAGUUAAUUGGAGGUAUGAAGUAAUUGGAGUUUAACAGAAAUAUCUCUCAUUAGAAUGACAGCCGAUGGGAGGUAUGAAGUAAUUGGAGUUUAACAGAAAUAUCUCUCAUUAGAAUGACAGCCGAUGGGAGGUAUGAAGUAAUUGGAGUUUAACAGAAAUAUCUCUCAUUAGAAUGACAGCCGA
Molecule: long non-coding RNA, 1732 nt
Organism: Pecten maximus
Lineage: Eukaryota; Metazoa; Mollusca; Bivalvia; Pectinida; Pectinidae
Exons: 4
Source: RefSeq, a predicted model, not a curated record